Molecule: ribosomal RNA, 403 nt
Filed under: uncultured bacterium
Lineage: Bacteria
Description: partial 16S ribosomal RNA
Rfam family: Bacterial small subunit ribosomal RNA
Source: RNAcentral
AUUGAACGCUGGCGGCAGGCCUAACACAUGCAAGUCGAGCGAGCGGCGGACGGGUGAGUAAUGUAUGGGGACUGCCCGAUAGAGGGGGAUAACUACUGGAAACGGUGGCUAAUCCCGCAUACUAUCGGAUAACCCAUAUGGGAUUAGCUAGUAGGUGGGGUAAAGUAUCAUCUAGGCGACGAUCUCUAGAUGGUCUGAGAGGAUGACCAGCCACAUUGGUACUGUGACAAGGCCCAGACUGCUACGGAGGCAGCAGUGGGGAAUAUUGCGCAAUGGGCGCAAGCCUGAUGCAGCCAUGCCGCGUGUAUUAAGAAGGCCUUAGGGUUGUAAAGUACUUUCGGCGGGGAGGCGUUACCCGCAGAAGAAGCAACGGCUAACUCCGUGCCAGCAGCCGCGGUAAUAC